Molecule: long non-coding RNA, 663 nt
Organism: Trachymyrmex cornetzi
Lineage: Eukaryota; Metazoa; Arthropoda; Insecta; Hymenoptera; Formicidae
Exons: 4
Source: RefSeq, a predicted model, not a curated record
AUUCAGUGAAUACUUAUAACUAAACACAUAACUAAAAAAGUUCAGUGUUCAAUAAAGUGCUUAGACGUAUCUAGGAAGCAGAAAAUCAGAUAAAGGCCGAAUUUUUAUACGCAGAAUAGUUUAUCUGUGCAACAAUUGUACAGAUUUUCGAUUUUCUUGAAGCACUUUGAUAUUAGCUUUGUGUUGCAGAUAUUAUUUUGAGAGAACAUUAUAAAAGAUGGAAAAGAUGUUGGCCCAGAAAUCAAACGGAUGAUGUGUUGUCAAGGAAUGUAAUAAAAAUAAUGUGGAAAAACGACACUUAUUUCGGUUUUCAAAGGAACAUGACAGAUGGUUGCAAUACGUGCGUGUGAAAGAUUGAAUUUGGAAGCAAUGGAUGCAGAAUAUACCCAUCGCGAUUAUCGAGUGUGCCACUUACAUUUCGAAGAAAAGUGGUACAAUGCAAGUAAGACUAGAGCUCAUCUUCAUCCAGAUGCAAUACCGACAAAGUUUUUUGAAAGGAAUAACGCAUCCAUUACGACAACAUUAGUAAAAGAGAAGAUAAAUGAUUAAAUACCUGUAGAAGACAAUAUUUGUAUUUCGGAACACGAAAAAAUAAACAGUAACUUACAGCCAAAAUCAUUCUUGCCUCUAGAGCAGAUCCUAAGAUGUGAUAUUGCUAAACCG